This is a non-coding RNA of Caenorhabditis elegans, 157 nucleotides long. The record is from Ensembl. Lineage: Eukaryota; Metazoa; Nematoda; Chromadorea; Rhabditida; Rhabditidae.
CAUCACAUGAUCAAUGAUGGCGCCAUGACGGAAAGGGAGAAGAAAUUGAAAAAAAAACGGAAAACGGAUGGAAAUGUAUGCGAAAGCGUGUGUGGCGACGAGCGACCGCGUGGUCUGAAACACCACGUGGUAUGGGAGAAUGUGUUCCGUAUUUUAG